Molecule: ribosomal RNA, 500 nt
Filed under: uncultured bacterium
Lineage: Bacteria
Description: partial 16S ribosomal RNA
Rfam family: Bacterial small subunit ribosomal RNA
Source: RNAcentral
AUUGAACGCUGGCGGAAUGCUUUACACAUGCAAGUCGAACGGCAGCACGGACUUCGGUCUGGUGGCGAGUGGCGAACGGGUGAGUAAUGUAUCGGAACGUGCACAGGCGUGGGGGAUAACGUAGUGAAAAUUACGCUAAUACCGCAUACGAUCUAUGGAUGAAAGCGGGGGAUCGCAAGACAUCGCGCGAUUGGAGCGGCCGAUAUCAGAUUAGGUAGUUGGUGGGGUAAAGGCCCACCAAGCCAACGAUCGGUAGCUGGUCUGAGAGGACGACCAGCCACACUGGAACUGAGACACGGUCCAGACUCCUACGGGAGGCAGCAGUGGGGAAUUUUGGACAAUGGGCGAAAGCCUGAUCCAGCCAUUCCGCGUGCAGGAUGAAGGCCCUCGGGUUGUAAACUGCUUUUGUACAGAACGAAAAGGUUUCUACUAAUACUAGGAGCUCAUGACGGUACUGUAAGAAUAAGCACCGGCUAACUACGUGCCAGCCGCCGCAGUAA